Molecule: long non-coding RNA, 826 nt
Organism: Mesocricetus auratus (golden hamster)
Lineage: Eukaryota; Metazoa; Chordata; Mammalia; Rodentia; Cricetidae
Exons: 5
Source: RefSeq, a predicted model, not a curated record
GUUGCAGGUGAUGUCUCUCCUAGGAAGCUUCUGAGCUGGACUUACCUAUUUCAGCCUGUGGACAUUUGCUUAUGUCAUAAUCCCUGGCCCCCACCAUGCCUUAACAUGCUAGGUAAGAGGAGGACACCCAGAGGCAGUAUCCAGUAUGUGAAUGCAUACUGGGUGUUUUCCAUGCGACCAACUCCACAGGAAUGGUGGCACCAUGACCUCUUGGAUAUGUGAGCUGUCAUUUGUCACCUUUCAAGCUCUCACAUGGAUUUCAAGUGUGGCCUUUCCUUGUAGAAGACUUUCAACUUAUCACAAAAUGACUUGGAUGCUGGGCAUGGAGCUUCAGUCCUUCAAUUCCAGCACUUGAGAAGUAGAGGCUUGCAGACAAGAAAUCACCUUCUGGCUUUCCAUUUUGCCAGGACGGAUCGUGAGGCUGGCGAGGCUGCCAUGGAAAAACUGUGCAAAGCGUGGUUUGGCCACUUCGCCCCCUGUAAGAACAAGAAAUACUAUCAUCUGCCUUGAGGAGACCAGCCACAAUGGAAGUGCUCCUGAGGUCUGUGCGGACAAGGACCACCUCCAUUCCAUGUCUCUUAUGGACUUCUGUGGCACCUUGAACCUUAUCCAGGUAGCAGAUGACCAUCAUGGUGCUCACAAGUGAUGUUCCUCACCCCCAGGGAGGUGACACUUUUGGGAAGUUACAGAGGAGCAGGUGGAGAACUCUCAGAGUACAUCCAGCCUUUCUGUGUCCUAGAGGUGGUCAGGGAUCUCAAUGUAACACGGCUAGCUCAAGCUGUUCAUGGUGGGCUGGACCCUAGGACUCUUCUCUCUUGUCUUCAGG